Drosophila pseudoobscura is the source of this 898-nucleotide long non-coding RNA. RefSeq lists it as uncharacterized. NCBI's taxonomy places the organism in Eukaryota, Metazoa, Arthropoda, Insecta, Diptera, Drosophilidae. The transcript has 4 exons. The record is from RefSeq and is a predicted model, not a curated record.
AGAACUUAACCCACUAGGCCCCCCUCUAUUUACACAGAACAUAACACCUUGAGUUAAACAGCAAAAAAAAUGGUACUGUUUGUAAAUCCUUCAAAUCCAUCUCAGAUCAGCAAAAUUGUCCAUCGACAUUGACAAGACUUGACCAGAAUGACCCAAACACAGCGCAAUAGGCCCCAUCGGUGGCCGUUCGGUGGCCGUUCGAGUACGUUCUUAUAUGCCCUCCCACAUUCACUCAAUUGGCCAUCAAAAGCGAGUGACGGGUUUUAUGACUAUUGGGGAUUGUGAAGAAGUUUGGAUCGUUGGAGACAUACAUAGUAUGUACUUCGUGCAUGAACUUUGGUGUUGGGUUAACGACUGAGAUCAUUUUUUGAGUCGGCAGAGAAUUCGGAUAUAAAACAAUCAUACAAAAUGAACCGAUCAGUAGCAGAUGCUAUAAUCUGCUACACAGAAAAAAUAAUUCUUAAUGAUUCAACUUCAAAACGAAAUGCCUUGUGGCUGGCAUAGGCUUUCAUGAUUUGUGGCAGUAAAUAAAAGGAACAAAAAGUCAUCAUAAAAGCACCUUGUAAAUCUCUCGUUGUCGCCUUGUCACUUCCCCUUUUUAAGCGGCCAAUUGUUCGGAUGCAAUUAUAUAGCCAGCCUAAUGAAAUUUGAUAUGCCAAAAAAAAAACAAACCAAUUACAUGCAACAGCCGCUGCCAUCGACCACUGACCACCGCUGACUUCUGGCGAAGAGAGUGAAAGAGUGAGCGGGAGAGAGAGAGAGCGGACAGCGGACAGGAGAGUGCUUUGGAAACGGGUUAAGAGAAUCGAGAACAAGUGGCCGAUCGGUGUGCGGGUCGGUCGGUUGCGCUUGGCUUGCGCAGAAUUCUAAACUUGUUAGAAGAGUCCGACCGUCCGAG